Musa acuminata AAA Group (dessert banana) is the source of this 838-nucleotide long non-coding RNA. RefSeq lists it as uncharacterized. The record is from RefSeq and is a predicted model, not a curated record. The transcript is spliced from 2 exons. NCBI's taxonomy places the organism in Eukaryota, Viridiplantae, Streptophyta, Magnoliopsida, Zingiberales, Musaceae.
UGUGGCGAAGAAGCCUGUAGCCAGUGGAUCCCGGAACCAGAAGCUCAUCUCGGACGCGCUCCGCCGUGCGAACAGUGGACAGGAAUGCUGACGUGGCACGAUCGUGUAACUGGUUGACUUCGAGGGGGUGCCAUCCAAGUACCGACGGCCAUGGCAGCAGCACGCUCCUGUGCUUCUCGGUGCGCGAGAGAGAGAGACAGACAGAGGACCAGUGGGAGUUCACGUGGGCACCAGGCGCCAUGCCAGGCUUCCCAUUCCCAAUUAAUAUUGCGGAGCACUGGUCGGCAACAGUGGCACAUGGUAGAUCGGAAAAAGAAACAAAACAAUCAAUGCUCUUCGUUUUCCUAAUGAUCUCUGCACCGCGGCGAAACAGAGGAGAGUGGGCGGCAUGUGGAAGGGGCGAGCGGGCGGAUACGAGGAUCGGGUGGCGUGAUCACCCCCCUCUCUUCCUCCAUCAUCUCCUGGGAAUCCCUCCACAGGCUUCCGCGGCGUUUAAGGAAGGCUGCCCCAACCAUGCCUUUUCUCUUCCGUGCUCGAUGGGCAACAUCGAGGCUCUUCGGACAGGUACCAAGGCCGGUUCACAUGUCCCCUGUAGCACCAAGUACUCUCAAAGUGGCCUCCCCAUUUGCUCCGUGUUCAUCUCCUAGGUUUACUUCGUAAAGUACUCCUGUGUUUGGUUGCAUGUGUCUACGUCUAUUCCGUUAUAUUCUCUCCCAUACUACCAGCAAAAUCUAUUUACCAUGGAUUCAAUAGUUCAUCCACCAAGUGAGAAAAGUGUUCUUUAAAUGUGAACUGCAUGUGUUGACACAAAUAAAAAUCAAUGGAGUACAUGACACAA